GAGAUCUGGAGGAAUACCGGUGGCGAAGGCGGCCCCCUGGACAAAGACUGACGCUCAGGUGCGAAAGCGUGGGGAGCAAACAGGAUUAGAUACCCUGGUAGUCCACGCCGUAAACGAUGUCUACUUGGAGGUUGUGCCCUUGAGGCGUGGCUUCCGGAGCUAACGCGUUAAGUAGACCGCCUGGGGAGUACGGCCGCAAGGUUAAAACUCAAAUGAAUUGACGGGGGCCCGCACAAGCGGUGGAGCAUGUGGUUUAAUUCGAUGCAACGCGAAGAACCUUACCUGGUCUUGACAUCCACAGAAGAAUCCAGAGAUGGAUUGGUGCCUUCGGGAACUGUGAGACAGGUGCUGCAUGGCUGUCGUCAGCUCGUGUUGUGAAAUGUUGGGUUAAGUCCCGCAACGAGCGCAACCCUUAUCCUUUGUUGCCAGCGAUUAGG
RNAcentral lists this ribosomal RNA (437 nucleotides) under Salmonella enterica subsp. enterica serovar Typhimurium. RNAcentral's name for it is "bacterial SSU rRNA". It matches the Rfam family "Bacterial small subunit ribosomal RNA", at positions 693 to 1129 of the family's 1533-position model. The record is from RNAcentral. Lineage: Bacteria; Pseudomonadati; Pseudomonadota; Gammaproteobacteria; Enterobacterales; Enterobacteriaceae.